This 500-nucleotide ribosomal RNA is filed under the name uncultured Glomeromycotina. Its description in RNAcentral is "partial small subunit ribosomal RNA". It matches the Rfam family "Eukaryotic small subunit ribosomal RNA", at positions 591 to 1092 of the family's 1831-position model. The record is from RNAcentral. Lineage: Eukaryota; Fungi; Glomeromycota.
CCAAUAGCGUAUAUUAAAGUUGUUGCAGUUAAAAAGCUCGUAGUUGAAUUUCGGAAUCGACGGAUUGGUCGCGCCUUCGGUGUGUACUGGUCUUGCCGGUUUCUCCCUUCUGACGAACCACGAUGUCAUUAAUUUGGUGUCGUGGGAAAUCAGGACUGUUACUUUGAAAAAAUUAGAGUGUUUAAAGCAGGCAUUAGCUUGAAUACAUUGGCAUGGAAUAAUGAAAUAGGACGUUUGAUCUUAUUUUGUUGGUUUCUAGGAUCGACGUAAUGAUUAAUAGGGAUAGUUGGGGGCAUUAGUAUUCAAUUGUCAGAGGUGAAAUUCUUGGAUUUAUUGAAGACUAACUACUGCGAAAGCAUUUGCCAAGGAUGUUUUCAUUAAUCAAGAACGAAAGUUAGGGGAUCGAAGACGAUCAGAUACCGUCGUAGUCUUAACCAUAAACUAUGCCGACUAGGGAUCGGAUGAUGUUAAUUUUUUAAUGACUCAUUCGGCGCCUUACG